CAGAUUAACAUAGCUUAAUUAUUUCAUUUACAUUGAAGUAUGUUCUGUGCAAAUCAGGAUAAUCUGA
Molecule: transfer RNA, 67 nt
Filed under: Lamproblatta sp. LA male
Lineage: Eukaryota; Metazoa; Arthropoda; Insecta; Blattodea; Lamproblattidae
Description: tRNA-Val
Source: RNAcentral